GACGAACGCUGGCGGCGUGCUUAACACAUGCAAGUCGUACGGUAAGGCCCUUUCGGGGGUACACGAGUGGCGAACGGGUGAGUAACACGUGAGUAACCUGCCCACAACUUUGGGAUAACGCUAGGAAACUGGUGCUAAUACUGGAUAUGUGCUCCUGCUGCAUGGUGGGGGUUGGAAAGCUCCGGCGGUUGUGGAUGGACUCGCGGCCUAUCAGCUUGUUGGUGGGGUAGUGGCCUACCAAGGCGGCGACGGGUAGCCGGCCUGAGAGGGUGACCGGCCACAUUGGGACUGAGAUACGGCCCAGACUCCUACGGGAGGCAGCAGUGGGGAAUAUUGCACAAUAGGCGCAAGCCUGAUGCAGCAACGCCGCGUGCGGGAUGACGGCCUUCGGGUUGUAAACCGCUUUCAGCAGGGACGAAGCUUUUUGUGACGGUACCUGCAGAAGAAGCACCGGCUAACUACGUG
RNAcentral lists this ribosomal RNA (465 nucleotides) under uncultured bacterium. Its description in RNAcentral is "partial 16S ribosomal RNA". It matches the Rfam family "Bacterial small subunit ribosomal RNA", at positions 28 to 507 of the family's 1533-position model. The record is from RNAcentral.